ACGCUCGACACCUACUGGAGGCAGCAGUGGGGAAUAUUGCACAAUGGGGGAAACCCUGAUGCAGCGACGCCGCGUGAGCGAAGAAGUAUUUCGGUAUGUAAAGCUCUAUCAGCAGGGAAGAAACUGACGGUACCUGACUAAGAAGCACCGGCUAAAUACGUGCCAGUAGCCGCGGUAAUCUGAGCGGGCUGGCAAGGC
RNAcentral lists this ribosomal RNA (198 nucleotides) under uncultured bacterium. RNAcentral's name for it is "partial 16S ribosomal RNA". It matches the Rfam family "Bacterial small subunit ribosomal RNA", at positions 328 to 539 of the family's 1533-position model. The record is from RNAcentral.